RNAcentral lists this long non-coding RNA (252 nucleotides) under Cyanistes caeruleus (blue tit). RNAcentral's name for it is "lncRNA (ENSCCEG00000012050.1)". The record is from RNAcentral. Lineage: Eukaryota; Metazoa; Chordata; Aves; Passeriformes; Paridae.
UCUCACACAAUGCUCUAGCACUUGUAGCCUAAUGAGAAAUUCCUUCUUAUCCUCCAGGACUAUUGACUGGGUUGGUUGUCCUCAGCAGGAGGGGACUUGUGUGCAAGUGCAGAGAUGUGCAGGAGAGCAUUUGACCUGCCUCAGUAGAUAUUUACUUGCUAGAUCUGUGGGUCUUCCUUAUAAGAAGAAAUGAAAAUGCCUGAUUUUAUUACAUUUGCAAUGAAGUAAAUGAUGAGAACACGAGUAAUUCUG